RNAcentral lists this ribosomal RNA (497 nucleotides) under uncultured bacterium. Its description in RNAcentral is "partial 16S ribosomal RNA". It matches the Rfam family "Bacterial small subunit ribosomal RNA", at positions 28 to 507 of the family's 1533-position model. The record is from RNAcentral.
GACGAACGCUGGCGGCGUGCCUAAUACAUGCCAGUUGAGCGCUGAAGGUUGGUACUUGUACCGACUGGAUGAGCAGCGAACGGGUGAGUAACGCGUGGGGAAUCUGCCUUUGAGCGGGGGACAACAUUUGGAAACGAAUGCUAAUACCGCAUAAAAACUUUAAACACAAGUUUUAAGUUUGAAAGAUGGAAUUGCAUCAAUCAAAGAUGAUCCCGCGUUUUAUUAGCUAGUUGGUGAGGUAAAGGCUCACCAAGGCGAUGAUACAUCACCGACCGGAGAGGGUGAUCGGCCACAUUGGGAAUGAGACACGGCCCAAACUCCUACGGGAGGCAGCAGUAGGGAAUCUUCGGCAAUGGACGGAAGUCUGACCGGGCAACGCCGCGUGAGUGAAGAAGGUUUUCGGAUCGUAAAACUCUGUUGGUAGAGAAGAACGUUGGUGAGAGUGGAAAGCUCAUCAAGUGACGGUAACUACCCAGAAAGGGACGGCUAACUACGUG